RNAcentral lists this ribosomal RNA (428 nucleotides) under Actinomycetes bacterium. RNAcentral describes it as "Actinobacteria bacterium partial 16S ribosomal RNA". It matches the Rfam family "Bacterial small subunit ribosomal RNA", at positions 355 to 776 of the family's 1533-position model. The record is from RNAcentral. Lineage: Bacteria; Bacillati; Actinomycetota; Actinomycetes.
UAGGGAAUCUUCCGCAAUGGGCGAAAGCCUGACGGAGCAACGCCGCGUGAGUGAUGAAGGUCUUCGGAUCGUAAAACUCUGUUAUUAGGGAAGAACAAAUGUGUAAGUAACUAUGCACGUCUUGACGGUACCUAUCAGAAAGCCACGGCUAACUACGUGCCAGCAGCCGCGGUAAUACGUAGGUGGCAAGCGUUAUCCGGAAUUAUUGGGCGUAAAGCGCGCGUAGGCGGUUUUUUAAGUCUGAUGUGAAAGCCCACGGCUCAACCGUGGAGGGUCAUUGGAAACUGGAAAACUUGAGUGCAGAAGAGGAAAGUGGAAUUCCAUGUGUAGCGGUGAAAUGCGCAGAGAUAUGGAGGAACACCAGUGGCGAAGGCGACUUUCUGGUCUGUAACUGACGCUGAUGUGCGAAAGCGUGGGGAUCAAACAGG